Molecule: ribosomal RNA, 497 nt
Filed under: uncultured bacterium
Lineage: Bacteria
Description: partial 16S ribosomal RNA
Rfam family: Bacterial small subunit ribosomal RNA
Source: RNAcentral
GACGAACGCUGGCGGCGUGCCUAAUACAUGCAAGUAGAACGCUGAAGAGAGGAGCUUGCUCUUCUUGGAUGAGUUGCGAACGGGUGAGUAACGCGUAGGUAACCUGCCUUGUAGCGGGGGAUAACUAUUGGAAACGAUAGCUAAUACCGCAUAACAAUAGGUGACACAUGUCAUUUAUUUGGAAGGGGCAAUUGCUCCACUACAAGAUGGACCUGCGUUGUAUUAGCUAGUAGGUGAGGUAACGGCUCACCUAGGCGACGAUACAUAGCCGACCUGAGAGGGUGAUCGGCCACACUGGGACUGAGACACGGCCCAGACUCCUACGGGAGGCAGCAGUAGGGAAUCUUCGGCAAUGGGGGCAACCCUGACCGAGCAACGCCGCGUGAGUGAAGAAGGUUUUCGGAUCGUAAAGCUCUGUUGUAAGUCAAGAACGAGUGUGAGAGUGGAAAGUUCACACUGUGACGGUAGCUUACCAGAAAGGGACGGCUAACUACGUG